AGAGGUAGUUGUUUGUACAGUUUGAGGGUUUGUGACACCACCCGGUUGAUGGAGAUAACUGUACAAGCCACUGCCUUGC
Molecule: microRNA precursor, 79 nt
Filed under: Callorhinchus milii (elephant shark)
Lineage: Eukaryota; Metazoa; Chordata; Chondrichthyes; Chimaeriformes; Callorhinchidae
Also listed under: 1 other name
Description: Cmi-Let-7-P2c3_pre stem-loop
Source: RNAcentral